RNAcentral lists this long non-coding RNA (1691 nucleotides) under Pollicipes pollicipes. RNAcentral describes it as "uncharacterized LOC119103361". The record is from RNAcentral. Lineage: Eukaryota; Metazoa; Arthropoda; Thecostraca; Pollicipedomorpha; Pollicipedidae.
CAUAUAUAUACCUAAAUAUGUAUUUAAAGGGCUGUCUAUAACUCAAGGCCAGGACUUAGCAUUUUUAACAUUCCCACUCACUGGUUAUCCUGCAGGAAAACACCUCCCUGGUUAUGUGGUAUUGGGCGUAACGGCUCUAAAAGGUGACAUCCAUUUCAGCCUGAUAUAGUAAGAGGUGCGAAACAAAAAUGGUUGCGCAGUUUGUUAUAGAAAGCCAAUGAUAUCAUACUUUGAGAUUUUGGAACGUUAUAAAAAGGCUUUGGCAUGAGUUGUAACCACUCCUCGGCAUAAUGCUCCGCUGUCCAAAUCCCUUCCUCUCUUGUUACGUUUCGGUUACCCACCAUAGAAACCCCUUUCCUCCUUCUCACGUCACGUGUGGAGGGCGCCAAUUUUCUGAUGGUACGAGUUAAAGGGAGCGCACUAGCACGACAACUAUUAAAAGCUAAACGCGUGGAAAGGGUUGCACGCCGUCUUGGUGCAUUUGGUGUCUUUCUUGUUUCCAUGAGUUUCCUGCAGCCUGUAAUAAUUCUGCGAAAUCGCGGCCUCAGCAGGAGGCGAGCAGGCUGUAGGAAGAUUUCCAGUAGGGCAGCGUCUUGGUCCAUAGUAUUGUGGCCGAAGCCAAAUUUCAUUUUAUUAUCGCAGAACUGACCUCAUGGCAAAAUCGACAACAUUUCAGCUUUCGUUUGUUUAGAUCCAAAUAUGUUUUUCGCGGUAGCAGUUUUCGACUUGUUGCUGGGGAAACCAAAGUAAAACCGCUGAAUAGGAAAUAGAGUGCAAACAAAUCUUUGGUAAUAUUUCUUUCACCGAUAAGACCGUAUAAUAACCUCAUCACUGGGCCGUAAAGAACGGAGCACGGUGCAGUGAUUUGUGCGACCUGUUGAGUGUUGGAAAAACUCCAUGACAACUCACCGAGAAACCCUUCGUGGGGGCGGUCGAGUUUGAUGACCCAUUCCCAACGCUCAACAGUGUGUGCGGUCAAUGGUCGUGUGUGCGGUUUACCAGUGCGCGCGACCACGAGAUGUUACCGUGUUCGACGUGUGCGAUCUGUUCUACUCGCGCUCCUGUAACGAACUGAAGCUGAAGUCAACGCGAGGCGGUGCCAAGUUUUCAGUUUUUCGUGAUCUGUGUGGAUCCAUAUCUACUCUUCGUAAUCAGACCUGUUCGCCGCUUGAACGCUUUUUUAGUCAUAGAUUCAGUCCUUGAAAUUGAGUAUGCAGUAUGAGAAUGCGAUCGCCAAGCUGUGCGAUACGAAUCGCAGUGCUGUGCUCUGUUCACCGUGGUGGGUGUUGCGAAGCAUGCAUGGCAGCUCACCGAGAAGCGCUCUCGCGGGGCCUGUCCGGGGUGGCAGCUCACCGAGAAGCGCUCUCGCGGGGUCUGUCCAGGUUGAAGUUCUCCGGGGGGCUGUCCAGGUUGGAGUUCUCCCGGGGGCUGUCCAGGUUGAAGUUCUCCCGGGGGCUGUCCAGGUUGAAGUUCUCCCGGGGGCUGUCCAGGGUGAAGUUCUCCCGGGGGCUGUCCAGGUUGAAGUUCUCCGGGGGGCUGUCCAGGUUGGAGUUCUCCCGGGGGCUGUCCAGGGUGAAGUUCUCCCGGGAGCUGUCCCGUGUGAUGAGCUGCCCCCCAUCGCUGCGCCAAUGGAUUCGCCUGUCGGUUGCCGACGUGUGCGAUUAUGUGCCAAUACACUGGGUCUAGUGGGA